Molecule: transfer RNA, 62 nt
Filed under: Desulfobacterales bacterium SG8_35
Lineage: Bacteria; Pseudomonadati; Thermodesulfobacteriota; Desulfobacteria; Desulfobacterales
Description: tRNA-Met
Source: RNAcentral
GCUCAGUUGGCUAGAGCCACCGGCUCAUAACCGGUCGGUCCCUGGUUCGAGUCCACCCACCA